ACUCCUACGGGAGGCAGCAGUGAGGAAUAUUGGACAAUGGGCGCAAGCCUGAUCCAGCCAUGCCGCGUGCAGGAAGACUGCCCUAUGGGUUGUAAACUGCUUUUAUACAGGAAGAAACACUCCCUCGAGUAGGGAGCUUGACGGUACUGUAAGAAUAAGGAUCGGCUAACUCCGUGCCAGCAGCCGCGGUAAUACGGAGGGUGCGAGCGUUAUCCGGAUUUAUUGGGUUUAAAGGGUCCGUAGGCGGGUUAAUAAGUCAGUGGUGAAAUCCCAUCGCUUAACGAUGGAACUGCCAUUGAUACUGUUAGUCUUGAAUGAGGGUGCAGUGGUUGGAAUGUGUAGUGUAGCGGUGAAAUGCAUAGAUAUUACACAGAACACCGAUUGCGAAGGCAGAUCACUAACCCUAAAUUGACGCUGAGGGACGAAAGCGUGGGGAGCGAACAGGAUUAGAUACCCUGUAGACUGUC
This 467-nucleotide ribosomal RNA is filed under the name uncultured bacterium. RNAcentral describes it as "bacterial SSU rRNA". It matches the Rfam family "Bacterial small subunit ribosomal RNA", at positions 335 to 799 of the family's 1533-position model. The record is from RNAcentral.